GAUGCAAGUGAUGAUGAAAAGAAUAGGGACAUCGGUACUCCACUCAGUGCGAGGAUGUCGACGCAUUCUUGGGAAUCUCUCUGAUGCAUU
This is a non-coding RNA of Picea glauca (white spruce), 90 nucleotides long. The record is from Rfam. Lineage: Eukaryota; Viridiplantae; Streptophyta; Pinopsida; Pinales; Pinaceae.